GACGAACGCUGGCGGCGUGCCUAAUACAUGCAAGUUGAGCGCUGAAGGUUGGUACUUGUACCAACUGGAUGAGCAGCGAACGGGUGAGUAACGCGUGGGGAAUCUGCCUUUGAGCGGGGGACAACAUUUGGAAACGAAUGCUAAUACCGCAUAAAAACUUUAAACACAAGUUUUAAGUUUGAAAGAUGCAAUUGCAUCACUCAAAGAUGAUCCCGCGUUGUAUUAGCUGGUUGGUGAGGUAAAGGCUCACCAAGGCGAUGAUACAUAGCCGACCUGAGAGGGUGAUCGGCCAAAUUGGGACUGAGACACGGCCCAAACUCCUACGGGAGGCAGCAGUAGGGAAUCUUCGGCAAUGGACGAAAGUCUGACCGAGCAACGCCGCGUGAGUGAAGAAGGUUGUCGGAUCGUAAAACUCUGUUGGUAGAGAAGAACGUUGGUGAGAGUGGAAAGCUCAUCAAGUGACGGUAACUACCCAGAAAGGGACGGCUAACUACGUG
This 497-nucleotide ribosomal RNA is filed under the name uncultured bacterium. RNAcentral describes it as "partial 16S ribosomal RNA". It matches the Rfam family "Bacterial small subunit ribosomal RNA", at positions 28 to 507 of the family's 1533-position model. The record is from RNAcentral.